CACGUAGUUAGCCGGGGCUUCUUACUCAGGUACCGUCAUUUUCUUCCCUGCUGAUAGAGCUUUACGUAACGAAUUACUUCUUCACUCACGCGGCGUCGCUGCAUCAGGGUUUCCCCCAUUGUGCAAUAUUCCCCACUGCCGCCUCCCGUAGGAGUCUGGGCCGUGUCUCAGUCCCAAUGUGGCCGUCCGCCCUCUCAGGCCGGCUACUGAUCGUCGCCUUGGUGGGCCGUUACCCCGCCAACAAGCUAAUCAGACGCGGGUCCAUCUUACACCACCGGAGUUUUUCACACCGCUUCAUGCGAAGCUGUGCGCUUAUGCGGUUUUAGCACCUAUUUCUAAGUGUUAUCCCCCUGUGUAAGGCAGGUUGCCCACGCGUUACUCACCCGUCCGCCACUAACCCAUAUAUCACUAGGUUUCAAUAUGGGUCCGUUCGACUUGCAUGUGUUAAGCACGCCGCCAGCGUUCAUCCUGAGCCAGGAUCAAACUCU
This 488-nucleotide ribosomal RNA is filed under the name uncultured Eubacteriales bacterium. RNAcentral describes it as "uncultured Clostridiales bacterium partial 16S ribosomal RNA". Lineage: Bacteria; Bacillati; Bacillota; Clostridia; Eubacteriales. The record is from RNAcentral.